ACAUAAACAUCAGAUAUCAUACAAUGACUGCAGCAAUUUUCAACAGUAAUUAAGCAGCUGUAACACAAGAUAUACUUCUCUUUCAUUAAUACAACAUUCCCGUAACAAAAGUGGUUGGACUGUUAAAACAAAUUGCAUGUCAUAACAAAUUAUCUACCAAUUUAAAAAGUAUCUGAUGCCAGUAUCAUGUCAUCACCAAUGAUUACUAAAGCUUAGAAUAGACAAUUAGCCAAUCAAUUGCUAAGUGUCAAACGAGUUUGACAAAAUUUCUGUCAAAAUAUACACCUUGAUAACCACAUUAUGGUUCCUUAACUUGUUCCACUGGCAACCAUGGCAUGCUACCAUGAUGACCACCAGUCAACAAGAAUUAUGUUUCUAUGAGAACCAUAAGACAGCUUAAAAUCAGAUAGAAAGAGCUGAACUAAGACCUAUACAUAUCACCCCUGUGAUAGCAAUAGCAAAGAAUAGAAUAAUAAUGGCCAAAUAAAACUUGAUAUGCUGAUAUCAGGAUACAUGCAUUUCAAUCACAGAACCAUAAAUAGAUACCUUCAGCGAACCAACUGUAGCAGUUUCAGGAACCUCAAUAUAGAGCUCUGGCACCUUGAAGGACUUUAUGCUAAAUUUCACUGUAAAAUGAAAUAAAACACGUCAGCGACUAUCUAUCAUGCUCAAGUUCCAAAAGCAAACAAUUAUCACUCUAUGGAGAAUAAGGGAAAAACAAGAGUAAAACGACGAUACCACUAGAAUCCUUAGAUUUUUUAUGAACUUUCACAGAUGUUGAUGACCCAUUUGCUGCGAGAAAAAAGGAAAUGAUUUAGAAACAGGACACAGCCAUAGGAACUCAAAACAGAGAUAACAUUACAAAAAGAACCUUUAUCUAAGACACCAUCUGAUCUCCUAUAUUCUCCCUUCUCAGGAGAAUUAGAAAUACUUUCACUACUAGCUUCCUGGUCAUAUGCAACUACAAAUCUACGACCACUCAAUUUCCUUCGUUUAGACGGUGCUUCAUGUUGACAUCUAUCCCUUGUGUGAAUGAAUUUUCUGUUUCGGUAAAAUGACCUCAUUCCUUCAUCUGCAAUGCAAAAAUGUUAGUUGUAAAUAUUCAGGGCAAUAAAAUAACUCUAUAAACAACCUAGAUAAAUUAGUUUUAAAAAAAAAGGCAUUCUCUAAGGACAUAAUGAAGAGCCUCCACUUACUGGUAUUUGAAACUUCAUAAUCUCUCAACUUGGGUGCAACUCUCCAGUAUUUCGAUUGCAGCAUCUUCCUAAUCCUUCGGUAGCCAUUGCGUGCUUGAGGCCUGAAGGCCCUAAACUUGGUGCUUAACUUAUUGCACCCAAAAGAAUUAUCGUCAUCAUCUCUAAUUCCUAAAUUUACAUUAUUCCUGUGCUUGGGAAAAGAAGCACUAGAAACAGGGUCCCUGUACAAGGACAACUGUACACUACCAUCUGAGUUAAUCACUGUUUUACUAUUCAUACACUUCCCGACUUGAUGCUUUACAUUGGGAGAGUUAGCCACAGUUAGUUCUUGACUCCAUUUGGUUUCAUCCCCUACUAGUCUUUUAGCUGCAGUCUCUGUUUUACCAUUGCAUAUAUUUUGUGAAGGAUGGGAGCCACCCGCUACUUUAAACUGGUUAUCCUCAUCUGCAGUUUUGUUAUUGCAGAUUCCCAACUUCAAAUCACAAUCAACUUUCUUUGAAAAAUCAGAACUUGUGAUAAUGGAAUCGUUUUCUAAAUUGGGAUGAUCCUCCACAGAAGACUUAAAAUUUUGUUCUCCUGCCACACGUUCAGGUAUAAAUGCACUUUCCACACAGCUCCCCUGAUCAAGGCACUCUGUCCUGAAAGUUUUAGUUUCUUCACUCCGUUCCUUUUUUAUGCCAUCCAUGUGACAAGGUUGAACCUUAGCUUCUGAUGCAUUACUAGAAGCAGAGCUUUCACUCUCCUGCAACAGUUUCCCAGCCACAGCAGCCAGCAAUUCAAAUGCACAAAUUUGGUGAUCUUCCACUGACUUUUUAUGCGGACCCCUCCUCUGAUAAGAUGAACCAAGAGAUGCUUAAGACCGCAAAAAACACUAAAAUUACUACAAGUAACCGUUUGACUUUUAUAAGCAGAUGCUUACUCUAACUGAUCGAGGAGCCCUAGGGAUGACAGGGAUUUGAUAGCCAUGGAAUCCAUAAUCCAACCUCUUCUUCAACACCAUAUCUCAAGAAGCAUGCCAGAAAGUCAUGAAACGCAAUGCACGAGUACUUUAAAGCAAACCUGUAUUCAGAAUACAGUUAAUCAGUCAGGCAUGUGAAAAUGCAGAAACGUGCUUUCUGACCCAUCACCAACCAGCAAUGCCCAACAUCUCGACAAUUUAUAACACCAGAGGAUUAUAUGAGCAAGUAAUUCAACUUCACACCCAAAACAAAAGUCCAAUUUCAACAAAAUCCCAGAAUAUGUUUUCGUAAGUACCAGAAACCAAGCCUCUGUAGCUGACAACUUGAUCCGGGACGUUCAUUCAAAAGCCUUUUCUUUAUAAAAAUUAAUCAAAAAAAUAGAAAGAAAGAGAGAAAGAAAACGUUAAGAACAAAACAAAGAAGGCCUUAAAAGCAAGAUAAAGACUAGGACAACUCAAAAUUCAGCCAUCACUGCGGAGUUAAAGACGUUGAAAUUAGCACCAGAUUCCAAAUUCGUCCUCCUCGAUCCGCACCCAGAUUUUUUUCAAAAGAAACUAAAGAAAAGGAGAAUUUCUCAAACACAACAAUUUCUCUUUCUCUCUGGAAUAUACCCAAAAAACUCGUGAGAAAAGGAAGUUCCUAAUUCGUGCACGGAGAUAAGAAAUGGGAAUUUCAAGAAGCAGAAGAAGAAAUGAGUAAAGUUAACAUGAUUGAAUUCCAUUUAUAUUCCUCAGAUUAAAUAAACACCAGAUCAGAUUCAAAUUCCCUAUAAAUUCAACAACCUCAAUCAAUAAACCAAAAUUCAGGAGAAUUUCCCCAAAAAGAAAACAUAAUUGCUAAAACCCUCCGCGAUCUAAUUACGUAAACUCCGAUGCUUCAUCCUAAAUCAUUCCGAGACACAUCAUGCAAAAACCCUCUAAAUUCACCGCGAUCACGCAAGAUCAAAAUCAAACAAUUCCUUCAAAGCUCACCAGAUCUCCCCACGAUCAACCUCAAUUCAACCACCAAAACUUCAAAUCCAAGCAACAAUUCAAACAAUUACCUGUGUGAUCCGACGCAAAUCAAUCAGCAACCUCCCUACGUUAUUCUGUACAAAAAAAACAGCGGGAAAAAUAAAUAAGAUCGUACUUCCGUUUUCUGGUGGUGUUUUUUUUUUGAGCUCAAAUAAUGUAAGGAGACACAAUAGCGAAAUUGAGAAACUGUUGUGUCAUGUCAGGAGAAUAGAGGGGAGAAUUGUUUGGAUGGAAAUGGAAAAACCUCUCUGGGUUUGGGGGUAAUGAAGUAGAGAAGAAAGGAAAAACCAACCAAUCAACCAACCAACCAAGAGUUUUUUAACAGAGUGCUAAAACCUCUCUCUCUCUCUCUAUCACUAACACUUAAUAAACCAUAAAUCUCUCUAUCCCCACAAAGAUAAAUACACUUAUUGACCACACAACCGGGCUAGCCGGUUCCAAUGGGAUGCGUUUUACCGGUAUUUGAAGGUCACCGGUUGGCAUGGGUUGGGACGGUUGGGCGGACCACUUCCUAACUCCUCUCUCCGUCUUUCAAAUAUUUUACCACCAUAACUAUUUUAUCCAUCCACAAGAUAGCUUUCGCCACGUGGCACGUGGCAUCGUUUCUUUCUGUCUCCGAAAUAAUUUAAUUAAAAUAAACCGCGGUUUGUCAUUUCCCCCCCCCCCCCUGAUCGGUGAUUAUGAUUGUGGUGAAGCUUAGUACUAGUAACUAGCGAUUAGCUAAUUAUAUUGGCCAUAAAAUAAUUCGAUUCCAGUAUGAUAUUUGCCGUCAGGAAUCAAUUAGCAUUAUUGGCAUUGGGAUUUGAGAAUGCGAUCAUAUAUCAUAUAAUAUAAGAGCUUCAUAUAAUUUGAUAAUAGCAGAAUUUAAAAAAGAGCACAAGCUGGGUUUGUUUGGAUACCCUAAUUAUCCCAAAUAAUAUUUCGCUUGCAUCAUAGACACAUUUUUCAACCCACCUUUUUAUAUUCCCAACCACCUUUUUAUUUCACAUACAUCAUAUCACAAAAAGUGCUACAGUAAUUAUUCCAAAUAAUAUUUCAAAUAAUACACUAUCCAAACAAACCGUGUUUUAUGUUUGAUCAAGGAAAAGUUUUAAUUCUCAGACUUUUCUAAAGGAAAUAAGGCCCUGUUUGGCAUUUGAGUUUUUUGCCAAAUUUGUCUGCUACAAGUUUUUUAAAAACAUUAGUUACAAUAAUCUCAAAAAGUUUCUCGAAAAUUUUAAAUUAUACACUUCAAAAUAUUCAAAUAUUUACACACUUCGUAAAUUUUUUAAAAAACUUCUACAGUAAAAUUUUAGAUAAACACCCAAAAAAUUCACUUGACAAACGAAGCCUAAGUUUUGGGUUUCAGCAGAAUGGAUAAAAAGAAGCGAAGUUCUAUGUGUGGUAAUACAAUUCAACUCAGAAGUAAAGAAAAGUCGAAACACAAAAUUAAAAACUUAGUAAUGGUGAUGUCACCCGAAGGGUUUAUUUGCUUUUGUGCUCACGUCACACCUUGUUCGGUUCAUAGCUUUUUUUUAAUAUAAAAUUUUUUAUAUUUUUCAUUAAUGCAUUUUCUAAUUAUUUUUUUUACUUUAUUAUACAUAUCAGAUUGUUACGGUAUAUUAGUCUAUAAAAUUUUUUUAAAAUAACAAUUUAAAUGGACUCUUAAUUGAUUGAUGCUUAAAAUGUUGGAAAUAGUGCUAACUCUUAGAAGCCACAUGUCAAUUAUUAGUGUAACAAGAAGUCCAAAACAAAGGCAUACUUCUUCUUGUUAAAUUUCCGUUAAGUCAAAUGAAUUGCUUUUUGUCCGUUGCGCAUUUAUUCUUUCUUUGAGCAGUUUUCCUUUGAUUUAUUCGGAAACCAAAAUGUUGCUUUACGCUUUCAGAGCUACAUUACCUGAUUUACUUCCAUAAAAACUAACAAGGUGCAUAUGUUUAUGUUACCAUGAUUAAUUCUUUGAGCGAAUAACUUUUUUUUUUUUUCACCUCAAAUGUUUCUGCACCCCUACAUCCUGCACGAAAUCGUACUACAUUGGAAAAGCUUCUUUCAUAAUGAGCAAUCAAAUUGCCACUCUUUUCCCUAGAUUGAUCUACGUACGAAUAAUGACAUCCAACAAAGCAUUGGACUUGGAUCAGCUUCUUCUAUGUGGCUUUAACCUUCCCAAACAAAUUUUUUUUUUUGGUAACUGUUAGCUUCAGGGCAAAAAAAGAUUCUUAUUAUAAAUCUUCAAAAAAUGUUUUAGAUGGCAUCCAAAUAAGGGAAAGACAAGUCAUCAUCUAAAUGGACAGGAGAAGAGCUGCAUAGCACCACGGUUCUCGGUUACGUCAAUUAAUUUGCAAGGGGUUGAGAUGUACCUUGGCUUGGCAUCUAAUUAUCCUUGGUUUUUUAAGAGGUUACAAAACACGGCAAGUAUUUGAAAAAUUCUAAUGUCAACUCCAAGGACGACUGGAUGGAUAACCAUCCAUAUUAUGGUCUUCAGUGGGCCGAGAAGACGAUGGGCCUUUUUGCAUUGGAUAGGGGUUCGGCUAUUAUCAAAUGGGCAAAUUCCACAGCGGUAGUAGUAGAUGUCAAAAAAUGGAUUACUUGCAGAUUUAAUAAUUGAAGAUUGCAUUUCAGGGUCAAGCUUAUUUCAAGGCGGCGUAUGUGCUUUUGACCAGGAUGAUUGAUCUCCCGUUCUCUUUGGAUAUGUCAAAACGAAACAUACGAGCAAGGGGGGAAAAAACACGCCGCUUACACUUUGCCAAGGAUAACUAACGAGAAAACGUACUCAUCAACGUACGCGGAACCAAAAAUAUAUAUAUUUUAAAGGAUCAAAUUUUAAUAUGUAGUAAUCUUUCCUAACUAGAAAAGUAGGGAAUGUCUGGCUGGUCAAGGAGCUUUUUUUGAAUGCAUGGUCCUUGUGUUUUCAGAACAUGGAGGUUUGGAUUAAAAAAAAAAAAAAUCGAAAGCCCCCUCGUUUCAAAAAACGCAGGGUCCCUUUUUGCACAAUAGUCCCUGCCACCCCAUGCAGGGGUCAAUUAGCAAAAGAUAAUCGUUUAGCGAAAGACAGUUAUUUAGUAAAAGACAAUUGUAGAAAUUGCUUCAAAAACAUGAUUGAUAGGCCCUCGUUAAUUUUUUCUUUGACCCUCACUAUCCCUUGUUUGCUCUUAUCUCGAGGCGUCGUGGAGCAGCAAAGAAGAAGGAAGCCUAAGAAACUUGUUAGGCUUCGUUGCUAGCAGGAGGAAGGAUGCACUGAAAGGAUAAAAGUUACUACAGUCGUUCUAGAUCAAAACGAAAAAGGUUUUGAGGUUACGUACUGCACUGUUUAGAUAUAUAUGUACGACACGUACAUGUGCAUUGAAUAAAAAAGAUAUUCAAACGUUAACAACGUGCAGCAACCCCUUGCAGAACGUUUAACAUUUUAGCAAGAAGCAGUCAAAGCAAUAAUAUCAUGCUGAUGAAAUAUUACAUGCUGCAGGCUGCAGGCAAAAAGUAAUAAAGAAAGAAUGAGUCAGGUAAAAAAUCGGUCCAUUCCAUUAACGCUUCUCUUCGUUAGGUUUGGUAUGGUAAGUUGGUAACUGGUAACUGGUAACUGGUAACUGGUAAGGGAGGGAGAGAAGGCAGCAGCCUAAGCCACCCCUUCACUUCACGAGGAAUGGAUAUUGAAUUGAAACCAGCGGUCAAAAGAGUUACUUGUCGUGACCGAAACAGUAAUGUAGGAGGAGAAGCUAAAGUGAGUAAAGGGCUUUAAAAAAAAAAUAAUAAAAACUAUAUAUAUUUUUUAGGAGGAGAAGCCGAAUGAGGAAAGUAACAAGUCAAGACGCGUACCCAAAAAAAUGAAGUGUGAAGUUCAUGGAAUGGAACAGUGUUGAAUUGUUAUGGCAUGGCCGGACCAGACGGUUGGUUGGCGAUGACUUCAAACUUAGGACUAUAUUAAGACCUCUAAAAAAAAAUGCAUUAGCAAAUAAUUAAAUCAUAUAAAAUACAAUACUGAUUAAUCUUCUAUAUACUACUGAUAUAUACACUUUCACUAUUAGAUGCAUAAUACGUAAUUUAAAUUUAAAUUUAAAAUUCAAAUUUCACAUAUGUAUUGUAAAUCAGACCAUGAUGAUGUAUACACCGUCAAUAUACAUAAAAUCUACUCAUAAAAUACAUUAUAGUUUCUUUUUUCCCUUUCCCUGAAUUAGCAAUUGUCACCCUUGUGUGUUUUUUUAUUUUUUUUUUGACAGUAUCCUAUUUCUAUUUCCAUAAUCUUAAUACUAUCGUGUACCAUCGGAUAACGAUCAAAAUGAAUGCUUCAGCUCUUUUCCUAGGUAGGUAUUAUCAUUAACAAAUGAACAAAGAAUUUCGUAGCACACUUUAUUUAUUUAUUGGAAUCGGAUUUGGGAUCGCACACAAAAGAAAAAUGACAAAAAAAAAAAAAGGAUACCGCCUUAAACAGUGACGAAGGAAUAUGACAAGGCUUUCGUUUCGUUCCAGGAGAGGAGGAUCAGGACAUUAGUAUAUUCCCUAACAGCUUGCUUGCAAAUUGGGUGGAAAGAGGAAAUUUGGACAGGUGGAAAUAUGACUGUCCAUGUUCUCCUAACUCUCAGGAUUCGAAUGACGUCAUCUAUCGGGAUGAUGGAUGAUGGAGGCUGGCUGAGGAGCCAAGAGAUUUUGACGGCGUCAGUUACAGAAGGACUAAUGGAGCCCAUCCGCAUGAAGCCACCGAAAUAUGAGUGGCCUCAACACGUUCGUGCAUUGUUAUCUGUUUGCCAUAAAAAAGGUGUCGGGUGUCGACGUUACUCUAGGAACCCGACACCGGCGCUUCCGGUGGCAACUGGGCAGACAUUUUAAUUCAAACCCAGAGCCAGAGGGGAUGUCUUUAAUGGAAAAGAUGGGCUUGCGACAUUGGGAUUUGGGAGCCACGUAAUUCAUUGGGUCAAUAUGCCCAACUACCCCGUAUGCAGGCAGGGGACAAUUUUGGGAGGACGAAGGUCUAAUUAAUUUAUCACAUUUUUUUUUUCGUCGAGAAGGAAAAUUGUUUGGUAAAACCUGUCUACCUAAUGAUCAAAAUUCAAAAGCAUAAACACCUUUUUUCUGCCCAUAUAAUUUGACAUUUACCAGAUGUUUAUCCAUCCAAUGAGGACGGAUGGAUCUCAAUUUUGGUCUAGAACUAGGAAUUUUUAUUUAAUUUUUUUUAGGGGAUUGCACCAUGUGGUCCUAUGGAUAUAUAAAGUUAGAGGGAUGGCACCUGAUGUAAACAAUUUUUAACUUUAAUACCCUCAUAAAAAGAUUAAUUUUUUCCUUAUCACCCAAUCAUAUUUUGCCAUUAUUCAUAACUAUCCUAAUCUAACUAUCAAAUUACUAUAACUUUAUAAACCUAAAUUAUUGAAUGGAAAUCUAUAUCAAUUUGAUAUAUGUAAAAGACAAAUUUUGUAUGAUAUUAAAUUAUUUUUAAAGACAAAUGGUUUAACCACUUCGACUGUAACAAAUGCUAACAAUACAAUAACAUGAUACUUGGCGCCAGCGGUCCGACCCUUACCACUUUGGUUGAUUUUUUGAUCAAUUCCUAAUCUUUCGAUGCUCUGUCUAUUCACCAGAAUUGUCUCUUGAAUCCGUUUGCAACAACAUUUAACCCAAACAUAAAUUCAGCAAGGUGUUAACGACCCAGGCAAUAAAGCGCAUGUCAUGCAGGAUUCUAGCAGAGGUGACGACUAAUGAAAAAGGUUUUCAAGUAAUUUUUUUUUUUUUUUCAACACAGGGGUGUCCGAGUCAAUCCUUACGGGGCCCGACUAAUCCCCUGCGGUCCGGGCCCGGCGUCCCAACCCGACCCGACCCGAACACGUUAAGUGCGCGGAAGAAUCCAGCGGAGCGGAGACUCGAACUUGUGAUCUCAAGGUUCACUGGUGAGAGGCGCUGCCGCUGGACCAUUCACGCGGGGGCUUUCAAGUAAUUACUCUCUUCAAACUCGUCCAUUUCACUCGUCAUUUGGGUUUGGUAUUUUAAAUGGGACUCACCGUGAUGGGUUGUGUCGUUGGUCCGAUUGCAAUUCCAGUAUCACUGCAUUCGGCAAUUGAUAUGGGCUCGCAAUCUCAUGCACACCUAUAAUUCUUCACUGUUUUUGUACCGGUUCCAUUGUGAAAACUUUAGAGUACACCAAGGUAGUCAUUGCUCUCUUACGGAGCCUGAUCGAAAUGGAGUGUCCAUGGAAUAAUAUAUGUAGUGAUGUAAUAUAUGUGAAAUGAUAAGAUAAUUAAACAUUUAUCAUGUAAAUAUUUUAAAAUUUUUCCUUAGGAAACUCGCAAUCCAAAAGGAAACCGUUCGUUCGAGCAUGUUGCUUGAAGGAAUUUGUUAUACUCUUCCGAGAAUUUGCUAGCAUCGGACUUUACAAGAUGUAGCCCAUUAGACAGCCUCUUCAAGAAUAAGAGCACAGCCCCUUUGAUAGUCAUAUUGAUUGACAUGUGAUGUGGGAGAGAAAAAUUAUACUGAAGGCAAAGGAUAAUGAAAAAGGAAAAUCCCGUCGGACACUUUUUUUUUCCCCCUCACAUCCAUCUGUCAGAUAUACUGAUAUAGGAGUCCAACCUUACGCUCUUUCCACCUUCAGUUGUGAUACACAGGAUUCAAAUACUAAAUCUGAUAAUAGAAAGAUUCUAAUAGCUCAUUUUUUACAACUAGAUUGACCUCAAUGAUUCAAUUCCGUCUUACACAUGGCCAAUCAAAACUUGAAAAUAUAAAAUCUAUAGACGGGAAAGAUUCUAACAACUCUUUUUUGACUGCUGCAUCGAACUCACUGAUUCAAUUCCAUCUCACACUUAGCCAAGCAAAACUUGGAAAUAUACAACUUAUAUUUUUUCCGGACAUUAUAAAUUCUAUUCUACAUUAAGGGAAAGGGGUGGAUUCAAGGGGGUCAAUAGAGAAUUCGGAAGGGAUUGAACAACUACUGAAUCAAAUGGGUGCCUUUGCACCCGCAGAUGAAAUUUUCAGAAAAUCCUGAAUAAAAAUGCUGGUCAAGAAAUUCGAGAUAUUUAAAACUCUCCCUUGUGACCAACUACUCUAGAAGUAGUUGGUUUGGAAAUAUAAAACCUAUAGAUGGACAAAGUACCCUGCAGUUGAUGGUCCACACACAAACAAAUGAUAGGAAUAAAAGAUGAAGGUGUUUCGAUGCUUGAUCCACCACCAAGAAGGGGUAGGCUCGGUGUAGUUGGCGUAUUCAGAGACUAAAGAGUUUUGUCACACCACACUCCUCCUCGAGCGGGGGCCCAAAAAAAAAGGAAAAAAAAAUGUUUCCUUCUAAUGCUUUGAGCUUGAGAAGCAACUUGCACCUUCUGGGAUAUAAAAUUUAAGUAGAAAACUAUGAAGGCAGCAGAACUGUCACCUAAACCAGAGAGGGAAGGGCCCAACCAAUCACAGUGUCGCAAGAGAAUUCUUGAAGGUAGUUAAGUUAGUUAAGCAAGGGACAACUAAAAUGCGUUAGAAAGUAGCUAUCAGUGUGAGGCAGCAUAAAUUGUGGUCGAUCACUGGAAUCAUUCGCCCCAAUUUUUUUGUUUUUUUUUUGAGCUUUUGGCCCGGCACCAAAAAUUGGGGGCCAAUUGGCACAGUAGAGAGGACUGUUCUGGCGGUGGACCUGCUAAUUUGUAAGAUUAUUAACUUUGCAUGUGAGAACAAAUGAAGAUUUUAAGAUAUGAUUCUACUUGGUUGGUUAUAACCUAAAAGUUUCUCUGGUCGAAUUGCGUAAAGCCACAAUGAACCAAUUCAAGACUCACAACUUUAGUUAAAGAGAAGACAAGAUUUUUUUUUUGGGAAUUAAGAGAAGACAAGACUUUGUAAAAGGUUGCCCUGCCCACUUGCGAGGCCACUGAUGGAAGAAGUAGCUCAUGUUGAUUACAAGAAACCAUGCUUGAGAACGAGAAGCUAAUUAAAUGCACUUUUAUCAAAACAUUAACAUCUGAGAUCCCUCUUAACAAGUGUUCCGAGAUACUUGUUAGCCUAGCCGACAAAUAAACAUUGUACAUUAACCUGUAGAGUAAUCCUUCACGAACAGCCACAAUCAAAGCACAUAAACUAUCAGAACGAGCUGCUUAAUUACCUUUUGCUUGUCUAUUAGCACAAAUUGUGGUCGGGGAUAUUAUAUACAUUCAUGCUAUUAUGAGUGCUUUGUAAGUUACAACCAAAUGAUUCCGGGUCAGAAUGCAAGCAAUACGAAUUUCUUCAUGCUUGGACACAUUUACUAACUGAUGAAUGUCACUGCACUCUUUGUACUCAGCUCAUACCGUUUACUCCUUGUUUCUUGACGUUUUUCGCCUGCAAUUUCAUAAUUGGUUGUCUUUUUCUUGUUGUAUUUCGUGUAGGGCAACACAGCUAUAGGUAACGGGAUAUACACAAAUGCAGGAAACAAUGGCUGGAGAGAGCAAAAAGUGGAUGACUGGGAAAGCAAAGUGUUGCCUUCUUGGUGGCACACGAACAGUCUCCUCCUGCUUUUAUGUGCCCUAGUCCUGGGAGCAGGAAAGAGCAGAUCUUCAGACAGAAGUAACACUAUGAUUAUAUUUGAUAUGUGAAGUUAAUCAGUUAUAGAAAUGUAGUGAUUCAUUUCGAGCUAAAGAAACGGUACGGUGAAACCAAUAAGCUUAAACUAAAAAACUUCUCACAGUUUCUUGGAUUUCUUCCGUGUAAUUUAUUAUAUAGUUUAAGAAGAUUUUUAUUUUCCCUCUGUUUUUCCCUGUUAAAACAAAGGUCGCUGCAUAUCAUUUGUACCCCCAACUGAUGACGUGUGGAAGAAGCAUCGUGACAAUUGUUUAUGUCCUAAAUUUAUAAAUAACUCACACGUAAUUAGCACACAACUAAUUAGAGAACAUUUAAGCUCACAAGUGAAAAAUUAAAAGGUGGAUGGUUAUGCAAUCGGCAACAUCAUUAUGCUAAUCAAGAAAGGUAAUGCACUAAGUUUAAUUAGAAACAAAACCAUCCACCAACUUCUUCAUCAUCAUCAUUACGAAGUACCAAAAGCGUGGUGAGUAUAAUCCAAUAGAAAACAAGUUAGUAAUUGUUGUGUGGAUUGUGGUUACAAGAAACUGCGAGAGUUACUUCCUAAUCGUGAAUAUAGGAACGUUCUGACAAGCCAAAACUCGACAAGUUUGUGAAGGACGUGUUUAUCAAGUGAAAUCUGCACGAGAUUAUAAAACGCUAGAGUUCAUGUGGUCCUGAAGAAAGCACUCACGGCGGAUAUCAAUUUAGUUCUCCUCCCAUAUAAAUUAAGCUAAAUACAACGUUUGAGUUGGUGCAAAAAAUUAAUAAAAUUGAGAACGUUUUUAGGCAAGAUAAUGCUUAAUGCAGAUAAAAGUACAAAACGUAAAUGAUUCAGAAGAAAUAAAGGCACUAUAAUUCGACAAGAAAUUAUAAUACAGAGAAAAAGAAAUACUCAACAUCUGUAUAUCAUAGUAGGAAGAUUAGUUGGUAUACAUUAUCAGUUCGUACUCU
RNAcentral lists this long non-coding RNA (12579 nucleotides) under Coffea arabica (coffee). RNAcentral describes it as "long non-coding RNA (CARA_LNC001524)". Lineage: Eukaryota; Viridiplantae; Streptophyta; Magnoliopsida; Gentianales; Rubiaceae. The record is from RNAcentral.